GCCGGGCAUGGUGGCGGGUGCCUGUAAUCCCAACUACUCAGGAGGCCGAGGCAGGAGAAUCACUUGAACCCAGGAGGUGGAGGUUGCAGUGAGCCAAGGUCGUGCCACUGCAUUCCAGCCUGGGUGACAGAGUGAGACUCUGUCUCAA
Molecule: unclassified non-coding RNA, 148 nt
Organism: Pongo abelii (Sumatran orangutan)
Lineage: Eukaryota; Metazoa; Chordata; Mammalia; Primates; Hominidae
Rfam family: Metazoan signal recognition particle RNA
About the family: The signal recognition particle (SRP) is a universally conserved ribonucleoprotein. It is involved in the co-translational targeting of proteins to membranes.
Source: Ensembl